CAGCAGCCGCGGGAAUACGGAGGGAGCUAGCGUUAUUCGGAAUUACUGGGCGUAAAGCGCACGUAGGCGGCUUUGUAAGUUAGAGGUGAAAGCCUGGAGCUCAACUCCAGAAUUGCCUUUAAGACUGCAUCGCUUGAAUCCAGGAGAGGUGAGUGGAAUUCCGAGUGUAGAGGUGAAAUUCGUAGAUAUUCGGAAGAACACCAGUGGCGAAGGCGGCUUACUGGCUCAUACUGGACGCUGAGGUGCGAAAGCGUGGGGAGCAAACAGGAUUAGAGACCCCUGUAGUCCCUGUCUCUUAUAC
RNAcentral lists this ribosomal RNA (301 nucleotides) under uncultured bacterium. RNAcentral describes it as "partial 16S ribosomal RNA". It matches the Rfam family "Bacterial small subunit ribosomal RNA", at positions 509 to 807 of the family's 1533-position model. The record is from RNAcentral.